RNAcentral lists this small RNA (1385 nucleotides) under Pongo abelii (Sumatran orangutan). RNAcentral's name for it is "processed transcript". Lineage: Eukaryota; Metazoa; Chordata; Mammalia; Primates; Hominidae. The record is from RNAcentral.
GCGGCCCGCGCUCUACAGGGCUACGGACUGCAGUCAGCCGUGGCCCAGGGCGCCGCGCGGGGCGCUGGUGGUCUCGCUGCCCGUGGGUCUGGACUUUGUGUGCCUGCAGGAGGUAUUCGAUCUGCGCGCGGCUCGUCGCUUGGUGAAUCGCCUGGCGCCCAACCUGAGCCCGUUGCUGUACGACGUGGGCACGCUCGGCCUAAAGCCCGGGCCGCACCUCAAGCUGCUGGACAGCGGGCUGCUGCUGGCCUCGCGCUACCCGCUGCUGCGCACCACCGUCGGUUGCUUCCCCCACGCACGUGGCGAGGACGCGCUGGCCUCCAAGGGACUAUUGUCCGCACAGGCGAGGCUGGGCAGCCUGGACCGGCGCCGCAUCGUGGGAUUCCUGCACUGCACGUAUUUGCAAGCACUGGCUGAGGACGGGCCCUUGCGCAGCAAACAGCUGAGGCUGCUGCUGGACUGGGCCGAGUUUGGGGCCGAGAAGUUUGAGGCCGACAGAGAACAAAGUGGAGAGGUCGUGACUUUCAGCGUGCUCCUGGGCGACCUAAACUUCGAUAACUGCUCGAAAGACCACCGGCUGCAGCAGGAGCACGAGCUCUUCCGCUGCUUCCAGGAUCCCUGCCGGCUGGGCACGCGCCAAAAGCAGCCCUGGGCCCUGGGGACAGCGCUGAGCACCUCCGUGCUCCAUCACUCCGUGGCCUCCUCCCCCAAGAUGCCGAGGCGGUGAGUGGCGACCUGGAAGUAGGCACUGCCCACCCGAAGCGCGCAGGGGGGCCCUGGCCUUGAUGACACCGCCCCCCCUACAAGGGCCCUGGAGCAGGAGAAAGGGCGCCACCUCUACCUGGCCGGCCCUCCCGGCAGAAGCCGCUGAGCUAAGCCCUGGAGAGGUCGGCGCCUGGACUACAUCACGUACCGCGGAGUUCCCGGGUGGCUGGGCCUGCGGCACUGGGACGACCCUCAACCUGACUCCCACCCCCAGGAGGUGGAGCAGGUGACGUUCAGUACUGCCCUGGCGGGGCUCACGGACCACCCGGCAGUGGGCCUGCAGCUCCGAGUCUCAGUGUCCUCCUAAAGCAAGCACAGAUGACAGGCGCGCAGCUGGCGCGCACAGACACGACUCGGAGCACGAACUAGGCGCGGUAGCCGCGUGCCCAGAACGGGGCGACUUAAGGCAUCUUUAUUGAGGGAUCCUCACACGGCCUCCUGGGCCCGGCGAUACUCAUAGACGCUGCCGUGCUCGGGAAAGGCCAGUGCUUGCGGGGGCGACCCCGGCGGUGGGGCGGGGUCCUCCGGGUCCCCAUAGCCACCGCCGCCGGGCGUGUGGAGACAGAACACAUCCUGUUGGGGGGGGCGGGGGGGAGGCGGGCUCAGUGCAGGUGUGGCCC